RNAcentral lists this long non-coding RNA (202 nucleotides) under Prunus persica (peach). RNAcentral describes it as "long non-coding RNA (PPER_LNC002322)". The record is from RNAcentral. Lineage: Eukaryota; Viridiplantae; Streptophyta; Magnoliopsida; Rosales; Rosaceae.
ACAAUUUUAGGGGAGAUUAUGCCUUCUUUUUUUUUUUUUUGGUUAUUUGACCAUAUUUGUUUUUUUGUAGAGAAUCAUCGAAACUUUGACGGCUAAAGUUGAGGAUUAGGAAGCUAUCAAAACAUAUCCUCCGCCACUACCACCACAAUACGCUUGUAUUAGGAUUUUAUUAUUGUACUUUGUUAAUUUAUGUGUACAUUUU